Molecule: transfer RNA, 75 nt
Filed under: Proteus mirabilis
Lineage: Bacteria; Pseudomonadati; Pseudomonadota; Gammaproteobacteria; Enterobacterales; Morganellaceae
Description: tRNA-OTHER
Rfam family: tRNA
About the family: Transfer RNA (tRNA) molecules are approximately 80 nucleotides in length.
Source: RNAcentral
GCGGGAAUAGCUCAGUUGGUAGAGCACAACCUUGCCANGUUGGGGUCGCGAGUUCGAGUCUCGUUUCCCGCUCCA